UACGUAGGAGGCAAGCGUUGUCCGGAAUUACUGGGCGUAAAGGGUGCGCAGGUGGCGGCGGCGCGUGGGGGGUGAAAUCGCCCGGCUUAACUGGGCGGGGGCCUUCCAGACGGCGUGGCUUGAGCAGGCGGAGGGGGACGUGGAAUCCGGGUGGAGCGGUGAAAUGCGUAGAGAUCCGGAGGAACACCGACGGCGCAGGCAGCCGUCCUGGCCGCUUGCUGACACUGAGGCACGAAAGCUGGGGGAGCAAACAGG
This 255-nucleotide ribosomal RNA is filed under the name uncultured bacterium. RNAcentral describes it as "partial 16S ribosomal RNA". It matches the Rfam family "Bacterial small subunit ribosomal RNA", at positions 524 to 776 of the family's 1533-position model. The record is from RNAcentral.